GGUUUGGCUGAGGAAGAAAAACGUGACAUCACAGCUAACAGCAUUAGCACCCCACAGAAUUCAACGUGUUUGGAGAGACGUGUGGUGCGCAGGAACAAACAUAUACAACAAUGUGCUGCACUCAGGAGAGGACAACAGUUUGCUUGAGCUGUCAAACAUGUUAGAUAACUUCUGUUGUCACUAUUUAUUUAUCCCAAGACUACAACUAAGUUUUCACACCAUCAGCAGUGGCUGAGAUGACCAUUCACUCAGAACUGAGAGGAAUCUGACACUUAUGGGAGAUGGGAAGCAUCCAGCAUGCUGUGGUAGAACCAGAAAUCACAGAGGGACUCUGCCUGCCUCAUAUUGACAGUGGACUGCUGGAUGACCCACACUGUG
This is a long non-coding RNA of Fundulus heteroclitus (mummichog), 378 nucleotides long. RefSeq lists it as uncharacterized. The transcript is spliced from 3 exons. Lineage: Eukaryota; Metazoa; Chordata; Actinopteri; Cyprinodontiformes; Fundulidae. The record is from RefSeq and is a predicted model, not a curated record.